CAUGUAGUAAUGGUGGGAGAACUAAAUGACCCUGAAAAUUCUGGAAAUGAGGAGAAACAGACUAAAGCCACAGGCAGCAGAUGAAUGAAGAGAGAGAAGAGUGCUUUAGUUGCUUAUGCCUCACUCUUCACGCAGAACGCCUCCAUCACCACCUGUUGCACUGUCCUGAUGCUUGUGCUCCCCUUCAAGAGGCAGAAGGAACAAAUCUGGGAUGGCUGGCUCACUUAGGUGGCCUGCUGUUCACUGGUGACCACCCUAGUGGCCUUGGCGAACCUGGCUGGCAUGGCGCUGACCAUCACCAUUCAGAGGGACUGGAUCGUGAGCUGACGGGUGACAACAGAGGCCGGCUGGUUGAUUGGUGUGGAGCUGUCCUGGAGAUGCAGAUGUCAACAGAGGAUGAUUCCGAGACAACUGGCCCCUUGCAGUGCAGAUAA
Molecule: long non-coding RNA, 434 nt
Filed under: Piliocolobus tephrosceles (Ugandan red Colobus)
Lineage: Eukaryota; Metazoa; Chordata; Mammalia; Primates; Cercopithecidae
Description: lncRNA (ENSPTEG00000036900.1)
Source: RNAcentral